RNAcentral lists this ribosomal RNA (1151 nucleotides) under Haliclona sp. 3 JV-2020. RNAcentral describes it as "partial large subunit ribosomal RNA". Lineage: Eukaryota; Metazoa; Porifera; Demospongiae; Haplosclerida; Chalinidae. The record is from RNAcentral.
CCCUUAGUAACGGCGAGCGAAGUGGGAAUGUUUUUGUGCCCAGGUCUGUAAUCUCCGUUCGGUCCCAUGCUCGGACGGCGAAUUGUGGUCUGGAGAGACGUACUGUUCCGUUGUCACCGCUCCCAGGGCCCCAAGUCGACUUGGAACGGCGUGCCAGAGAGGGUGAGAGCCCCGUAGGGCCUAGAAACCGGGAGAGGCGGGACGAGGGUGCGUUCUCGCAGAGUCGGGUUGUUUGGGAUUGCAGCCUAAAUAGGGUGGUAGACUCCAUCCAAGGCUAAACACGGGCGCGAGUCCGAUAGAUGACAAGUACCGUGAGGGAAAGGUGAAAAGCACUUUGAAGAGAGAGUUCAAUAGAGCGUGAAACCGUUGGGAGGGAAGCUCAGGGUGCCGAGGCGGUAGAGGUCGUUGGAAUUCAGUUCGGUCGCGAAAGCGACGGAGUGCAUUUUCUUUCGGUCUUGGUAACCGUCAGCGAGAGUUUAGCCGGUCGGUUUUCUGCGGAGAGGGAGGUGGCGGCUUUCGGGACCUUCGGGCGGCGGAAACCGUUCGUAUAGCCUCGCCGCAGGAGCGAUUUGGCGAAUCUUUGGUGCGAAUUUCGAGCGUCGUUCGCUCGACUGGUAAGGUGCGGUCCUCUCGAGAGGAGCGGGAUUCGUUCUUCGGUSGUUGCCGAGCGAAAUUUCGUGUUCAGCGUUGGAGUUCGCUUCAUCGUUGUGCAGUUUUGGAGCUUUGGCGACUUUCGACGGUUCGUUUGCCACGUUACCGCGCCCAGGUCGUUGGCGUCGAGUCGGUCCCCUGUGCCCCGUCUUGAAACACGGACCAAGGAGUGCAAGAGGCACGCGAGUCCUGCGGGUUGGUCGUUCGACUAGUUUCGAGCGCACUCGAAAACCCAGAGGUAGGCGAAGCGAGAGCAAGUUCCGGUAGCGUCCGGUGGGUGCGAGAGCUGGUUUCCCUCGGGAAGCGAGCGCAUCGCGGACCGAGCCGUUGGUCACUCCGUGGCCGGCUUCGAGUGAGAGCGCGUCUGUUGCGACCCGAAAGAUGGUGAACUAUGCCCGAGGAGGGUGAAGCCAGGGGAAACUCUGGUGGAGGCCCGCAGCGGUUCUGACGUGCAAAUCGAUCGUGGCACUUGGGUAUAGGGGCGAAAGACUAAUCGAACC